GGCUUCGUAGCUCAGCUGGUAGAGCGCUUGAUGAGGUGAAGCAUGGUGUUUCUCUCGCUGGUACGAAUCCAGCCGAAGCCC
Non-coding RNA from Paragonimus heterotremus, 81 nucleotides. Lineage: Eukaryota; Metazoa; Platyhelminthes; Trematoda; Plagiorchiida; Troglotrematidae. The record is from the annotation of a GenBank genome assembly.